UACGGAGGGUGCGAGCGUUAAUCGGAAUUAUUGGGCGUAAAGGGUGCGUAGGUGGUAUGAUAAGUUAUCUGUGAAAACCCUGGGCUUAACCUGGGGGAGAGAGAUAAGACUGUUGAACUAGAGUAUGGGAGAGGGCAGUGGAAUUUCCGGUGUAGCGGUGAAAUGCGUAGAGAUCGGAAGGAACACCGGUGGCGAAGGCGGCUGCCUGGCCUAAUACUGACACUGAGGCACGAAAGCGUGGGGAGCAAACAGG
This 253-nucleotide ribosomal RNA is filed under the name uncultured bacterium. RNAcentral describes it as "partial 16S ribosomal RNA". It matches the Rfam family "Bacterial small subunit ribosomal RNA", at positions 524 to 776 of the family's 1533-position model. The record is from RNAcentral.